GAAUCAACUCUGGCGGCGUGCCUCAGACAUGCAAGUCGAACGCGAAAGUCCCCUUCGGGGGACAAGUAGAGUGGCGCACGGGUGAGUAACACGUAGGUAAUCUACCUUUGGAUUGGGAAUAACAACCGGAAACGGUUGCUAAUACCGAAUAAUGCAGCGGCACCUAAUGGUGACAGUUGUUAAAGCGGGGGAUCGCAAGACCUCGCGUCUGAAGAGGAGCCUGCGGCAGAUUAGCUAGUUGGUAAGGUAACGGCUUACCAAGGCGAUGAUCUGUAGCCGGCCUGAGAGGGCGGUCGGCCACACUGACACUGACAUACGGGUCAGACUCCUACGGGAGGCAGCAGUCGGGAAUUUUGGGCAAUGGGCGCAAGCCUGACCCAGCAACGCCGCGUGAAGGAUGAAAUCCCUCGGGAUGUAAACUUCGCAAGAACGGGAAGAAUAAACCGGUGUUAACAUCACCGGCGAUGACGGUACUGUUUGUAAGCUCCGGCUAACUCCGUGCCAGCAGCCGCGGUAAUGCGGGGGGAGCAAGCGUUGUUCGGAUUUACUGGGCGUAAAGGGCGCGUAGGCGGCCUCUGCAAGUCGACUGUGAAAUCUCCGGGCUUAACCCGGAAAGGUCAGCCGAUACUGCAGGGCUAGAGUGCAGAAGGGGCAACUGGAAUUCUCGGUGUAGCGGUGAAAUGCGUAGAUAUCGAGAGGAACACCUGCGGCGAAGGCGGGUUGCUGGGCUGACACUGACGCUGAAGUGCGAAAGCUAGGGGAGCGAACGGGAUUAGAUACCCCGGUAGUCCUAGCCUUAAACGAUGAAUGCUUGGUGUCUGGGGUUUUAUAGUCCCCGGGUGCCGUCGCUAACGCUUUAAGCAUUCCGCCUGGGGAGUACGGUCGCAAGACUGAAACUCAAAGGAAUUGACGGGGACCCGCACAAGCGGUGGAGCAUGUGGUUUAAUUCGACGCAACGCGAAGAACCUUACCUGGGCUAGAAUGCCUCUGACAGCCGUAGAGAUACGGUUUCCUUGGUAAAACUUGGCAGAGUGCAAGGUGCUGCAUGGCUGUCGUCAGCUCGUGUCGUGAGAUGUUGGGUUAAGUCCCGCAACGAGCGCAACCCUUAUCAAUAGUUGCCAGCGGUUUGGCCGGGCACUCUAUUGAGACUGCCGUUGACAAAACGGAGGAAGGUGGGGAUGACGUCAAGUCCUCAUGGCACUUUAUGUCCAGGGCUACACACGUGCUACAAUGGCAAGUACAAAGCGCUGCAAACACUGCAAAGGGGAGCAAAUCGCAA
This 1279-nucleotide ribosomal RNA is filed under the name uncultured bacterium. RNAcentral describes it as "bacterial SSU rRNA". It matches the Rfam family "Bacterial small subunit ribosomal RNA", at positions 27 to 1277 of the family's 1533-position model. The record is from RNAcentral.